CCCGCGGGGUACGCCCAAGUCUCCACGCCAUUCCCCAUUCUCCUGGUCGCCAGCUCCCCCUUUCCACCUCGUAGGUAGCUCCUCCCCUUCGUCCCCACAGCCGGCGCGAGGUCCGCACGCCCCUUCUCGUUGAUCCGGUCCCCGAAGUCCCCGAGGAGGCACUCGAGCUCGGCAUGCUCGCGAGCGACCCAGUGCAAGGGGCCAUCUGAGGCGGAAGCGGUGGCCCGGGAUUCGUCUCAUCCGCAUCGGCGGCCGCGGCCAUCCAGCGCUGGCGUUGCCCGAGCACGGAGCAGGCCCCAACUCCUCACCAGCUGGAGCGGUUCGGGUGCUCCGCUUUCACCGGCGAGCUGCCCCUGCCUGCCCCCAGAUGCGCGUCGGCCCGCGGAGGGGGAGGGGUCGAAGAAGCAAGCGCUAGUAGGGGAGGAGACGGAGAGGAGGCGGAAUGAGGUUCUAGAUGGUUCUGGCGGUGCGAAUCACCGCAGGCGUCGCGCCCAUUGUCGCCUUUGCCCGCUGCGAGAACUCCCGCUCCGCGCGCCAAUGGCAGCCGGGACCAAGGGAUAUUUGAAAUUGGCAAGGAAAAGAAAACUUCAGAUGUGAACACCUCUGUUAAGUAUUAUUUUUAUUUCACUAUUACUAAUGUGUCGCCUGAUAGCUCGAUCUCUUCCAUACAUACAUACAUGGUUAUUUCAGUCAUGUGAUGUAUUUGUCUCGUAAAGUCAGUGCCCGUCAAUACUUUCUUUCGCUAGUCAAGUUUUCAUCUGAUAGAUCUGAUAGAUAGAUGGAAACACAAGUUUUCAUUCAUAAAUAGUAAGUAAUUUGUCUCUGAAUUUUGACAGUGCAGACUACUUCUUUUCAUACGUAUGCAGCUUUACCUCGCCUCAUAAUUUGAGUUUAUUUGUUUGACUGAUGCUAUUUGUAAAAUUCUAAUUGCGCUUACGGAUAAUGCCCCCUGAUUUUGCUUUCUGCCUAGACUAACUCUGUCUACAACCUCUUGCAUGUAUUUUUCCCCCAUGUUUAUCUAAAAUGGUUUUUGGCCCUUUAUUUUUAAAUAACCAAACAACUUUCUUAUACUUAUAAAUAGUACUGGAGCUCAUGGCCUUGCUUAAGAAAAACCAUCUAUAAUUGCUAAGUUUAUAAUAAUAGGUGAGCUACUGUGUCUCGGGCAUACAAUGCAAACUUGCAGACCAUAAGCUAGAUACGCAAUGAUUUUUUUCUUACUAUUACCAUGUUUUUUCAAUUUAUCAAGCUCCAGCCCAAAUAUCUGAUAGUAUUUGGCCUACAGUUAGUGUACUAAUUAAUUGGAUAUUUGAGUAGUAUUGUCAACAGUAAUAACUUUUACAUGUUUGCAUUACUUCCAAGAGUAACAGCAGGCGUUUAGGACACCUUUAGGAGAUCUACUAAUCUCUAAUCAUGCUACUCAAGGAUAGGAACCGUAGGCUUCUCUAUACAUUUUUUCACUGUCCUUUAUUGGUGGUUCUAUGAUGUAGUCCAAAUGAAACCAAUUGCAUGUAUUGAGAAAUAGAGUAUAGCUAGAUAAAGGUAAAACAGAACUUGACGUGGUUUUCCACUGACCUGAACAAUAAAAUAGACCACAUAUCUGGGAAGCAGAUUAAUAUGGGACAGCUUAUUAAGGGGCCCGAGCUUGUAUAGUAGUAUACGGGGCUGUAUUAGUGAUAGUAGAAAUGAUUUCCUCUAAUUUAGCAUUUGUAUCAAGGCCGCCAGUAUUUUCACUGCAUUUCAGAAAUACAAACUACAAAUUUUGCAAUGGUGCCAAAAAUAAUUAUUUCAUGAGCUGCUUCCUAUUUUACCCAAUAUGAAAACAUAAGCUACAUGUUGCAACAUGAUGGAGAAGAGGCAACACAGGAACCUGUUUACCAUUUUUUUUGCCAAGGUCUUGUCUGUAAAUGGAGACAUCUAUAUUUGUUUCUGAAUGAUAUGCUUUAAUCACAUGCCUUCUUCUCUUCCUUAGGAAAAUCAGAGGUCUACCAAUUUAUGUAUAUAGUGGGUGGUUUUUUUGGUAACUUAACUUGAGCAACCUAAUUUUGAAACAUAAUUUGAGAGACAUAAAUACAAACACUGUUAAAAUCAAGGGCUUACCUGUGAGUUCAGAACCAGCAAUCAGUUGAUUGUUAACAGUCAAUAUGUAUGAUUAUUUUUCUAAAUGUUUUUCUUUUCCUUUCGUGUGAAGGUAUGCGAUGAUCGGCAUUCUGAGCUAAUCCCUUGUUUGGAUAGGAAUUUGAUUAUCAGAUAAGCUUGAAGAUGGAUUUAAAACUGAUGGAGCAUCAUGAGCAUCAUUGCCCUACUUAGGAGAGACGCUUUAAUUGCUUGAUUCCACCGCCACAUGGCUAUAAGCUCGCGUGCGGGUAUUCACGUGCUCCCUUGCAUUAUCACUCAAAACAACUCAUGUUGUCUGGUGCUCGGAUGUUGAAGUAGACACUGGACAUUCCCUCACACUCGCAUCAAGCCCUACCUGAUUCCCCUCAUACGUAUGAUCAGAUUCUGUAGGAGUUGGAAGACAAAAGUACUGAUCCAACCAUGGAAGGGGUGGAAGGCUAUCCACAUCACUAUUCAACAUGCAACCAACCACCUCACUCGAGUCAUUAGCGCUUCCCUUGCAGUUGGAGGCUACAACGCUAUACUGCAUCGGUGUAGCCUCAUCCAAGCUCCUGUACAUGGCGAGAUAACUCCGCAACAUGGAGCGCCCUGUCGGAUGAAUCCCUCAUGGCACCCAUCACCGGCACGCCACCUUUGCUAUGGCCUGCGUGUCAGAUGCGUCUUUCCAACGCUGAAGCUUUGCCUCCAAUCUCUCGUAUACCCCACUGUCCAGCGUGUAUGGCUUUAUUCAUUUGCCUGUCUUCAACCAUGUCCUGCAAGGCAGACUCAUGGAUAUGGAUUUUCGGUAUUCCUGGAUGCAUGCAUGUUCACGGGGUGAUGCAGCUACCAGCAAUCCACGUCGUCCCUCUAUCGACACGCCCACUACUAGACACGGCCGCAUCUGUUUUGUGUUGUCACAUCAUCACUAGAACUUGAUGAUUGCACAAAUUGUUUGUGGGAACAAUGAAGCAUGCACCUUUAGUAUUACGGUUUUUUUACGAUGAAGCUAGGUGUUGUCGUCCUUCUUUCAAGAUCUGGUAGAAUGGUAGUAACAUAUAUAUCGUUAUGUGUCUUCUCUUCUAUGUUUUAAAUGUUUGUAAUUUGUACGAUGCAUUCAAUCGCUUUUGGCCCAAUGUGAGUUCAUUCACUCUUGCAUCUAUGCUUGGUAGAUUACGUGCAUAUUCAAUUGA
Triticum dicoccoides is the source of this 3284-nucleotide long non-coding RNA. RefSeq lists it as uncharacterized. The transcript has 6 exons. The record is from RefSeq and is a predicted model, not a curated record. Lineage: Eukaryota; Viridiplantae; Streptophyta; Magnoliopsida; Poales; Poaceae.